UUUUCGUAGGUGAACCUGCGGAAGGAUCAUUACAGAGUUGCGACUCCUCCGGGAGCCAUCUCCACCCCUUGACUACCAACAUUGUUGCUUUGGCGGGCCGCGGCCCUGCUGCCGCCGGCCCCGGCUGGCGAGCGCCCGCCAGAGGCUUUUAAAUCUUACUUGCAAUGAGUCUGAGCGAAAAAACAAUGCGAAAAACUUUCAACAACGGAUCUCUUGGUUCUG
RNAcentral lists this unclassified non-coding RNA (222 nucleotides) under plant metagenome. RNAcentral's name for it is "partial contains small subunit ribosomal RNA, internal transcribed spacer 1, and 5.8S ribosomal RNA". The record is from RNAcentral.